Hippocampus comes (tiger tail seahorse) is the source of this 911-nucleotide long non-coding RNA. RefSeq lists it as uncharacterized. Lineage: Eukaryota; Metazoa; Chordata; Actinopteri; Syngnathiformes; Syngnathidae. The transcript has 4 exons. The record is from RefSeq and is a predicted model, not a curated record.
CGCAUGAUCUCGUCCUGACGGGCCUCCAGGGCUCUGACGGACGGGUCCACUUCGCCAUUCUGCAGACAGGAAAUAAUUCCGUCGGUGCUAUCGGCAUCCUGAGUUUCCCUGCCAGAUGGAACAAACAGGCAACACCUGCUUGUUUACGACUUCAAAAAGCAGGUGCAGCGUUGAAGACAGGGCAAAAACAUCCAAAACCUUUACCAAGGAAAUGACGCUCACUUUUGAUUGACACUAUCAGAAAGAAAAGAAACGGAUGGGCGGCGCAGAAACCGGAUCGACAGCGGGACUCAAGCCACCGCAGUUCAGUCGCUGUAUGGAUGUCAUGUGCAAAGGCACCCUAUUCUGUUACCACCGAUCAUUUAUUUAUUUACAUUUACAAAGUAGAAGUUCCUGUAUCACAUUUUUUGGUCUAGCCUUAAAAAAAAGGAAUAAAUGGCCCGAACUGAACAAUGAUAACGUGUGAAAAUUAGAACUGCACCUGCACAACAAAAAAUAUUUAUAGCAGGUCCAAUGGAAAUUUGGAUUUGAAUGUUUUUAAAAUGUUAUGUUGGGGUGGUGCUGGUGUUGAGGCAGUGGGGUGUGACAGGACUUAUUCCUCUUAUAAUGUAAAUAAUUUAAAGUCAUACUUUUUUAUCAUGACUUUUGUGUCGAAAAAUCUUCACACGAAAUACAGUAUAGUUUCAAGGGUUUCGCUUUAUGCUGGCGCCAUCUAGCGGCAUUUGAUUUGAUUUUAGCGAGACUGCCCGAGCACAAUCUUUUCUCCACAGGAAAAUAUUAGUAAGUACCAUGUGUCGUUUUUCCUGUCCAUAAGUUUAUUCGUUGCUUUUUUUUUUGUCAGCCAGAUUGUCACAUAGUUGAAAAGACACAUGCUGAACCUCCGAUAAGACAGAGAGGGACCGUAGCGAAAG